UACGGGGGGGGUAAGCGUUGUUCGGAAUUACUGGGCGUAAAGGGCUCGUAGGCGGCCAACUAAGUCAGACGUGAAAUCCCUCAGCUUAACUGGGGAACUGCGUCUGAUACUGGAUGGCUUGGAUCCGGGAGAGGGAUGCGGAAUUCCUGGUGUAGCGGUGAAAUGCGCAGAUAUCAGGAAGAACACCGGUGGCGAAGGCGGCUCUCUGGGCCUUACCUGACGCUGAGGAGCGAAAGCGUGGGUAGCGAACAGG
Molecule: ribosomal RNA, 253 nt
Filed under: uncultured bacterium
Lineage: Bacteria
Description: partial 16S ribosomal RNA
Rfam family: Bacterial small subunit ribosomal RNA
Source: RNAcentral